This 571-nucleotide ribosomal RNA is filed under the name Fuscopostia fragilis. Its description in RNAcentral is "partial 28S ribosomal RNA". It matches the Rfam family "Eukaryotic large subunit ribosomal RNA", at positions 1 to 569 of the family's 3401-position model. The record is from RNAcentral. Lineage: Eukaryota; Fungi; Basidiomycota; Agaricomycetes; Polyporales; Fomitopsidaceae.
CUGACCUCAAAUCAGGUAGGAUUACCCGCUGAACUUAAGCAUAUCAAUAAGCGGAGGAAAAGAAACUAACAAGGAUUCCCCUAGUAACUGCGAGUGAAGCGGGAAAAGCUCAAAUUUAAAAUCUGACGGUCCUCGUGGUCGUUCGAGUUGUAAUCUGGAGAAGUGCUUUCCGCGCUGGACCGUGUACAAGUCUCUUGGAACAGAGCGUCAUAGAGGGUGAGAAUCCCGUCUUUGACACGGACUACCAGUGCUUUGUGAUGCGCUCUCGAAGAGUCGAGUUGUUUGGGAAUGCAGCUCAAAAUGGGUGGUAAAUUCCAUCUAAAGCUAAAUAUUGGCGAGAGACCGAUAGCGAACAAGUACCGUGAGGGAAAGAUGAAAAGAACUUUGGAAAGAGAGUUAAACAGUACGUGAAAUUGCUGAAAGGGAAACGCUUGAAGUCAGUCGCGUUGGUUGGGACUCAGCCUUGCUUUUGCUCGGUUUAUUUUCUGGUUAACGGGUCAGCAUCAGUUUUGAUCGUCGGACAAUGGCCAGGGGAAUGUGGCAUCUUCGGAUGUGUUAUAGCCCUUGGUCG